Molecule: ribosomal RNA, 497 nt
Filed under: uncultured bacterium
Lineage: Bacteria
Description: partial 16S ribosomal RNA
Rfam family: Bacterial small subunit ribosomal RNA
Source: RNAcentral
GAUGAACGCUGGCGGCGUGCCUAAUACAUGCAAGUCGAGCGAACGGACGAGAAGCUUGCUUCUCUGAUGUUAGCGGCGGACGGGUGAGUAACACGUGGAUAACCUACCUAUAAGACUGGGAUAACUUCGGGAAACCGGAGCUAAUACCGGAUGAUAUUUUGAACCGCAUGGUUCAAAAGUGAAAGACGGUCUUGCUGUCACUUAUAGAUGGAUCCGCGCUGCAUUAGCUAGUUGGUAAGGUAACGGCUUACCAAGGCAACGAUGCAUAGCCGACCUGAGAGGGUGAUCGGCCACACUGGAACUGAGACACGGUCCAGACUCCUACGGGAGGCAGCAGUAGGGAAUCUUCCGCAAUGGGCGAAAGCCUGACGGAGCAACGCCGCGUGAGUGAUGAAGGUCUUCGGAUCGUAAAACUCUGUUAUUAGGGAAGAACAUAUGUGUAAGUAACUGUGCACAUCUUGACGGUACCUAAUCAGAUAGCCACGGCUAACUACGUG